AAUAAAUAUGGCAAAUGACUUCAUAAGCUGCCUCUGUGCUGUUAUAGAAGUAUAAUCGGUAGACAUUAUAAGAUGUCAGCUUUUGUCUAUAGUAAAUAUAAUUUACACAGCAGAAAAGAGUGAUUAGAGUCAGAUCACUGAGAGGCUAAUGAAAAAACCCAUCGGCACAGAUGUGGGUUGUUCAUUUUGUAAAAGAUCAAAGAAAUGACAAGUUUUGAAGGUGUUUUACAUGCUCUGAAACUCAUCACAGACGUGUUCAAUCAUGCUCUGAGAUACAAAGCAAUCUAAUCAUUUUUAUAUUAAACAAUUCGAAUCCUAUGGAUUGUGGUUCACAUUUAGAAAGGCAUUAACUUGAGUCAUUCAUGGCUUGAAAGUUAAAGUAUGUUUCAUAAAUUGGAUUGUAAGAAACAUUAACAAAAGAGGGCCCUAACAAAAUAUAACAUAAUAAAGGGAUGGGGCUUGGAGGGAACAAUAAACCAAGAUCAAAUUGCAAAACUAGAUUGCAAUAGCAAAAUAAAUAGAUCUGAUAUGCUGUUAAAAAUAACAGUCUACACAUUUAUUUUGAAAAUGAUGUCCUCUAAUAACGAUUAAAGGAGUUAUUUGAAAAGUUUCAUGUUUUUUUUUAGUCUAGUUAAUGAGAUUGUAGAACAGAAAACAUUGCCAAUGGCUAAGGAAGAGGGGAUAAAAAAGAAAAUUAUGCUUCUUUAGCAUCUUUUGGUAAAUGAGUGCUGUUGCUUAUUCAUGUAAAAUUGAACCAUGAGGGAAAGCACGGAAAAGCAGAAUUAUCUAAGAAAACUGUUGGAAGGACACUUAAAAGAAACUAGGAACAUAUGAAAAAGGCCUCAUGUAUUGAUUCAAACAUGCUACAGC
Molecule: long non-coding RNA, 870 nt
Filed under: Homo sapiens (human)
Lineage: Eukaryota; Metazoa; Chordata; Mammalia; Primates; Hominidae
Description: HSALNT0085428
Source: RNAcentral